RNAcentral lists this small nuclear RNA (89 nucleotides) under Spermophilus dauricus (Daurian ground squirrel). Lineage: Eukaryota; Metazoa; Chordata; Mammalia; Rodentia; Sciuridae. The record is from RNAcentral.
GUCACAUGCCCUAAAACUGGAACGAUGCAGAGAUUAGCACGGCCCGCCACGAGGAUGAUGUGCAGAUUCUUGAAAUGCUCCUUAUUUUU